CGGUUGAUCCUGCCGGACCCUACCGCUAUCGGGGUAGGACUUAAGCAUGUUAGUCGUACGCCUCCCCGCCGUCGGAGGAGGCGUGGCGUACGGCUCAGUAACACGUAGUUAAUCUGCCCUCAGGACAGACAUAACCCCGGGAAACUGGGGUCAAUGUCUGAUAGAUGGGGAAGCCUGGAAUGGUUCCCCUUCGAAAAGACGUUGGAACCGUGCUUUCAACGUCGCCUGAGGAUGAGACUGCGUCCGAUCAGGUUGUUGGUGAGGUAACGGCUCACCAAGCCUAUAACCGGUACGGGCCGUGAGAGCGGGAGCCCGGAGAUGGGAACUGAGACAAGGUCCCAGGCCCUACGGGGCGCAGCAGUUGCGAAAACUCGCCAAUGCACGAAAGUGUGAGCGGGCUACCCCGAGUGCCGUCCGCUGAGGAUGGCUUUUCAACACUGUAAGGAAGUGUGGGAAUAAGGAGAGGGCAAGUCUGGUGUCAGCCGCCGCGGUAAAACCAGCUCUCCGAGUGGUAGGGAUGAUUAUUGGGCUUAAAGCGUCCGUAGCCGGCCUGACAAGUCUCUCGUUAAAUCCAACGAUUCAAUCGUUGGACUGCGGGAGAUACUGUCAGGCUAGGAGGCGGGAGAGGCCGACGGUAUUCUUGGGGUAGGGGUGAAAUCCUAUAAUCCCAGGAGGACCACCAGUGGCGAAGGCUGUCGGCUGGCACGUGCUCGACGGUGAGGGACGAAAGCUUGGGGAGCGAACCGGAUUAGAUACCCGGGUAGUCCAAGCUGUAAACGAUGCGGGCUAGGUGUUGGGGUGGCUACGGGCCACUUCAGUGCCGCAGGGAAGCCGUUAAGCCCGCCGCCUGGGAAGUACGGCCGCAGGCUGAAACUUAAAGGAAUUGGCCGGGGAGCAC
Molecule: ribosomal RNA, 898 nt
Filed under: uncultured archaeon
Lineage: Archaea
Description: bacterial SSU rRNA
Rfam family: Archaeal small subunit ribosomal RNA
Source: RNAcentral